AACGAACGCUGGCGGCAGGCCUAACACAUGCAAGUCGAGCGAGACCUUCGGGUCUAGCGGCGGACGGGUGAGUAACGCGUGGGAACGUGCCCUUUGCUACGGAAUAGCCCCGGGAAACUGGGAGUAAUACCGUAUGUGCCCUUCGGGGGAAAGAUUUAUCGGCAAAGGAUCGGCCCGCGUUGGAUUAGGUAGUUGGUGGGGUAAUGGCCUACCAAGCCGACGAUCCAUAGCUGGUUUGAGAGGAUGAUCAGCCACACUGGGACUGAGACACGGCCCAGACUCCUACGGGAGGCAGCAGUGUGGAAUCUUAGACAAUGGGGGAAACCCUGAUCUAGCCAUGCCGCGUGAGCGAUGAAGGCCUUAGGGUUGUAAAGCUCUUUCAGGUGGGAAGAUAAUGACGGUACCACCAGAAGAAGCCCCGGCUAACUCCGUGCCAGCCGCCGCCGUAA
RNAcentral lists this ribosomal RNA (449 nucleotides) under uncultured bacterium. RNAcentral describes it as "partial 16S ribosomal RNA". It matches the Rfam family "Bacterial small subunit ribosomal RNA", at positions 29 to 523 of the family's 1533-position model. The record is from RNAcentral.